UUCCAGACUCCUACGGGAGGCAGCAGUGGGGAAUAUUGGACAAUGGGGGGAACCCUGAUCCAGCGACGCCGCGUGAGUGAAGAAGUAUUUCGGUAUGUAAAGCUCUAUCAGCAGGGAAGAAAGAAAUGACGGUACCUGACUAAGAAGCCCCGGCUAACUACGUGCCAGCAGCCGCGGUAAUACGUAGGGGGCAAGCGUUAUCCGGAUUUACUGGGUGUAAAGGGAGCGUAGGCGGUUCAGCAAGUCAGAAGUGAAAGCCCGGGGCUCAACUCCGGGACUGCUUUUGAAACUGUUGAACUAGAUUGCAGGAGAGGUAAGUGGAAUUCCUAGUGUAGCGGUGAAAUGCGUAGAUAUCAGGAGGAACACCGGUGGCGAAGGCGGCCUGCUGGACUGCGACUGACGUUGAGGCCCGAAAGCGUGGGGAGCAAACAGGAUUAGAUACCCGUGUA
This 449-nucleotide ribosomal RNA is filed under the name uncultured bacterium. Its description in RNAcentral is "partial 16S ribosomal RNA". It matches the Rfam family "Bacterial small subunit ribosomal RNA", at positions 329 to 792 of the family's 1533-position model. The record is from RNAcentral.